GACGAACGCUGGCGGCGUGCUUAACACAUGCAAGUCGAACGGUAAGGCCCUUCGGGGUACACGAGUGGCGAACGGGUGAGUAACACGUGGGUGACCUGCCCUGCACUUCGGGAUAAGCCUGGGAAACUGGGUCUAAUACCGGAUAGGACCACUGCCUGCAUGGGUGGUGGUGGAAAGCUUUUGCGGUGUGGGAUGGGCCCGCGGCCUAUCAGCUUGUUGGUGGGGUGAUGGCCUACCAAGGCGACGACGGGUAGCCGGCCUGAGAGGGUGACCGGCCACACUGGGACUGAGAUACGGCCCAGGCUCCUACGGGAGGCAGCAGUGGGGAAUAUUGCACAAUGGGCGCAAGCCUGAUGCAGCGACGCCGCGUGAGGGAUGACGGCCUUCGGGUUGUAAACCUCUUUCAGCACCGACGAAGCGCAAGUGACGGUAGGUGCAGAAGAAGGACCGGCCAACUACGUGCCAGCAGCCGCCGUAA
Molecule: ribosomal RNA, 478 nt
Filed under: uncultured bacterium
Lineage: Bacteria
Description: partial 16S ribosomal RNA
Rfam family: Bacterial small subunit ribosomal RNA
Source: RNAcentral